RNAcentral lists this ribosomal RNA (235 nucleotides) under uncultured Lactobacillus sp. RNAcentral describes it as "partial 16S ribosomal RNA". It matches the Rfam family "Bacterial small subunit ribosomal RNA", at positions 128 to 355 of the family's 1533-position model. Lineage: Bacteria; Bacillati; Bacillota; Bacilli; Lactobacillales; Lactobacillaceae. The record is from RNAcentral.
GCCCAAGAGAUCGGGAUAACACCUGGAAACAAGAUGCUAAUACCGGAUAACAACAGAUGAUGCCUAUCAACUGUUUAAAAGAUGGUUCUGCUAUCACUCUUGGAUGGACCUGCGGUGCAUUAGCUAGUUGGUAGGGUAACGGCCUACCAAGGCGAUGAUGCAUAGCCGAGUUGAGAGACUGAUCGGCCACAUUGGGACUGAGACACGGCCCAAACUCCUACGGGAGGCAGCAGUC